ACCACAGGAUGUGAGGAACUAGGCUCUGCUACUGGAGGAGGGGGAGGAAUCUCUUUCCGACGGGAAGAGUGUCUUGCUGAUCCGAUUGCAGUCGAAUGUUGGGCUCUAGUUUUCUCCAUGGUGAAUAUUGUCUCUCUUCUCCCUACCUGACGUGCCAAUCUAUUGCGGCCAACUCUCCAUCGUCUAUCGUCAGAAACGAACACCUGCAAGACAACGUCCACACUGAUCGGAUUUGUGUCCGACAGAGACCCUCCGAUGCUUAAGUUAGAGAGGAAAGUUGGUGAACAGUAGAUGUCAAUACUUAGAGUAGCAGAGUUCUGGCUAGAAAUGACUUACCAGUCCUAUUUUUCUUACCCCCUUUUAUAGACGAAGUUCUUGUAGCCGUCAAAUGUGGUCCCGUAUUUUAUGGCGCUAAAUCAUCGGGCCAUAAUCAUGUAGUAGGUCAUUAAUUUUCUAAUUAUGAUGCCGUGAUGUGCGGUCGGUAACCGUUCGUGACGGUUAAGACAUAUUGAGCAGAUUAGCUGACUGUAUGUUGGUAGUAGGCAUGAUCGUCAGUUGAUGAUUCUGCUGUAUUGUCGGUCACCGACCAUAAGUUGGUGACAUUUGUUCAAUUGGUUGAUGAAGAGUCGGAGUCGUCAGUUC
This 642-nucleotide long non-coding RNA is filed under the name Elaeis guineensis (African oil palm). RNAcentral describes it as "long non-coding RNA (EGUI_LNC002928)". Lineage: Eukaryota; Viridiplantae; Streptophyta; Magnoliopsida; Arecales; Arecaceae. The record is from RNAcentral.